RNAcentral lists this transfer RNA (74 nucleotides) under Treponema sp. RNAcentral's name for it is "tRNA-Arg". It matches the Rfam family "tRNA". From Rfam's summary of the family: Transfer RNA (tRNA) molecules are approximately 80 nucleotides in length. Their secondary structure includes four short double-helical elements and three loops (D, anti-codon, and T loops). Lineage: Bacteria; Pseudomonadati; Spirochaetota; Spirochaetia; Treponematales; Treponemataceae. The record is from RNAcentral.
GUGACACUAGCUCACCCGGAUAGAGCAGCUGCCUUCUAAGCAGCAGGUAGGGGGUUCGAGUCCCUCGUGUCACG